Molecule: ribosomal RNA, 406 nt
Filed under: uncultured bacterium
Lineage: Bacteria
Description: partial 16S ribosomal RNA
Rfam family: Bacterial small subunit ribosomal RNA
Source: RNAcentral
AUUGAACGCUGGCGGCAGGCCUAACACAUGCAAGUCGAGCGAGCGGCGGACGUGUGAGUUAUGUAUGGGGAUCUGCCCGAGAGAUGGGGACAAGUAACGGAAACGAUUGCUAAUUCCGCCUACUAUCGGAUGAACCGAUAUGGGAUUAGCUAGUAGGUGGGGUAAAGGCACACCUAGGCCACGAUCUCUAGCUGGUCUGAGAGGAGGAUCAGCCACACUGGAACUGAGACACGGCCCAGACCCCUACGGGAGGCAGCAGUGGGGAAUAUUGCACAAUGGGCGCAAGCCUGAUGCAGCCAUGCCGCGUGUAUGAAGAAGGCCUUAGGGUUGUAAAGUACUUUCAGCGGGGAGGCGUUACCCGCAGAAGAAGCACCGGCUAACUCCGUGCCAGCAGCCGCGGUAAUAC